UCAGUAACACGUAGUCAACAUGCCCAUAUAGGACAUGGAUAACCUCGGGAAACUGAGGAUAUAACCGCGUAUAGGCCCAAGGUUUCUGGAAUGAGCCAUGGCCGAAAUCUAUAUGGCCUUUGGAUUGGACUGCGGCCGAUCAGUGCUGUUGGUGAGGUAAUGGCCCACCAAUACCUGUAACCGGUACGGGCUUUGAGUAGUAAGGAGCCCGGUAGAGGGGCACUGAGACAAAGGCCCAGGCCCUAUGGGGCGCAGCAGGCGCGAAUACCUCUGCAAUAGGCGAAAGCUUGACAGGGUUACUCUGAGUGAUGCCCGGCUAACGGGUAUCGGUGUUGGCACCUCUACAAAUG
Molecule: ribosomal RNA, 350 nt
Filed under: unidentified archaeon
Lineage: Archaea
Description: bacterial SSU rRNA
Rfam family: Archaeal small subunit ribosomal RNA
Source: RNAcentral